UACGAAGGGGGCUAGCGUUGUUCGGAAUUACUGGGCGUAAAGCGCACGUAGGCGGAUUGUUAAGUGAGGGGUGAAAUCCCAGGGCUCAACCCUGGAACUGCCUUUCAUACUGGCAAUCUCGAGUCCGAGAGAGGUGAGUGGAAUUCCGAGUGUAGAGGUGAAAUUCGUAGAUAUUCGGAGGAACACCAGUGGCGAAGGCGGCUCACUGGCUCGGUACUGAUGCUGAGGUGCGAAAGCGUGGGGAGCAAACAGG
RNAcentral lists this ribosomal RNA (253 nucleotides) under uncultured bacterium. RNAcentral describes it as "partial 16S ribosomal RNA". It matches the Rfam family "Bacterial small subunit ribosomal RNA", at positions 524 to 776 of the family's 1533-position model. The record is from RNAcentral.